UGUUGUGCCCCGGAGCCGCAACGAAUGGGCCGACUGGAAGGAGACGGGCGUUCCCACCUAUCAGCCUCCCGUGGAUGUGAGCGACAGCGAGGAGCAAAAUCUUGAGGCCGACUUCCCCGACUACGUGGACUCUCCCCUUGAGUAGUAGACCCGUAACGAAUGUUUUUUUUUGCUUUUUUUUUGUACGGGAAGAACUCUUACCCCUGCUUUGUAAUAAUACUUAACUUUUUU
This 231-nucleotide long non-coding RNA is filed under the name Zostera marina. RNAcentral's name for it is "long non-coding RNA (ZMAR_LNC000644)". The record is from RNAcentral. Lineage: Eukaryota; Viridiplantae; Streptophyta; Magnoliopsida; Alismatales; Zosteraceae.